GGAAGUAAAAGUCGUAACAAGGUCUCCGUUGGUGAACCGGCGGAGGGAUCAUUAUAGAACACCCCGGCCUUCAACCCCUGUGAACUUACCUUAUUAUUCUCCGGCCCCGGUGCCUUCGGGGCGGAUCAGGCGCCCGCCGGGGUAAACAAAAACCGUAUUUGUACCCUGUAUACCUCAGAAUUAGGCGUAAAGCCGAUUAAUAAAUAACAACUUUUGACAAUGGAUCUCUUGGCACUGGCAUCGAUGAAGAACGCAGCGAAAUGCGAUAAGUAAUGUGAAUUGCAGAGCACAGUGAAUCAUCGAAUCUUUGAACGCACAUGGCGCCCGCCGGUAAUCCGGUGGGCAUGCCUGUCCGAGCGUCAUUUCAACCCUCAGACCUCUCUCGGUACUGGGGGAUGGAGCCCGCGGCGCCCCUCAAAUUGGCGGCUCCGGAGUCUGUCUCCCCUGCGUAGUAUUGCAUCUCGCUUUGGGACUUCUUCGGGCUGCUGUGGCUAUGCAACGAAACCCUCUAGGUUGACCUCGGAUCAGGUAGGGAUACCCGCUGAACUUAAGCAUAUCAAUAAGCGGAGGA
RNAcentral lists this ribosomal RNA (571 nucleotides) under Chusquea coronalis. RNAcentral describes it as "eukaryotic LSU rRNA". The stretch from base 209 to 362 matches the Rfam family "5.8S ribosomal RNA". Lineage: Eukaryota; Viridiplantae; Streptophyta; Magnoliopsida; Poales; Poaceae. The record is from RNAcentral.